RNAcentral lists this long non-coding RNA (321 nucleotides) under Solanum tuberosum (potato). RNAcentral's name for it is "long non-coding RNA (STUB_LNC010296)". The record is from RNAcentral. Lineage: Eukaryota; Viridiplantae; Streptophyta; Magnoliopsida; Solanales; Solanaceae.
UUAAGGUAUCAGGUACAGGUUGAAGAAAAUGAUCUCAAAGAUUACAGUAUUUUGAUAUUAUAAAGCCUACGAGAAAAAACAGAUACACUUGCAAGGCAUUUCAGGUUAAGCCUACUAGACAUUCUUGUUCUUCUUCAUCUUUGAAGGUGGCCAUCGCCCUUUCUUCCUUAGGUGGCGCUUCCUAACGAGUCUCUUCCUGCGUAGUCUAAUUUUUUUUGCCAACUUCAUCUUCAUCUUCUGUUCAAGCUUCUCUUGAAGCUUAGACUCCAGAGGGAGAUUCUCAACAGGCACACUUUCCUCAUUUUUUUCUGGUGAAGGCUC